GCUGGGCAUGGUGACGCAUGCCUGCAAUCCCAGCUACCUGGGAGGCUAAGGCAGGAGAAUUGCUAGAACCCAGGAGGUGGGGGCUGCAGUGAGCCAAGAUCACACCGCCACUGCACUCCAGCCUGGGUGACAGAGCAAGACUCUGUCUCAA
This is an unclassified non-coding RNA of Macaca fascicularis (crab-eating macaque), 151 nucleotides long. It matches the Rfam family "Metazoan signal recognition particle RNA". From Rfam's summary of the family: The signal recognition particle (SRP) is a universally conserved ribonucleoprotein. It is involved in the co-translational targeting of proteins to membranes. NCBI's taxonomy places the organism in Eukaryota, Metazoa, Chordata, Mammalia, Primates, Cercopithecidae. The record is from Ensembl.